This 133-nucleotide ribosomal RNA is filed under the name uncultured bacterium. RNAcentral's name for it is "partial 16S ribosomal RNA". The record is from RNAcentral.
GGAGGUACCGUCAGGCCUGCAGGUAUUAGCUACAGGAGAUUCGUCCCUCUCCACAGAGCUUUACGACCCGAGGGCCUUCAUCACUCACGCGGCGUGGCUGGGUCAGGGUUGCCCCCAUUGCCCAAUAUUCCCC